GGCUGUUGGAGGUGAAACUCUGAAUAUUUGGGAAAUACAUCCAGAAGGAAGUGGCUGGGAUAUGACUCAUGCAGCCCUCUGAACCCCGAUGGGGGUUUCACUGUCACAUAAACACCAGCGUUCUACGACUGUGGUCUCUUCCACUUGGCAGCUUUCAUUCAUCUGAGACACGGCUACUAUUCUGUAGGGUCCCGAGAAGGAACCUCGACAGUUGUAUUUUCAGUUUUGAAGGACAGAGUUCAUUGAAUUUGGCCCUCAAAACAAUCAGCAGAAAUGGACUGGGUCCCCAUGAGGGCAGACAGGUGGAGUCCCCCCCAGAGUUCCAAGCAGAGCAGAGUUCUUUCAGGUGAGGCCUCCAAGUUUAAGGACAGACAGCAACAGAUAGAGACAGCAACAACAUCCAGCAGAAACUGACUGGGGAAGUCUGAGCAUCAGCUGGAGUUCCCCACUGAGCUUUCUCCACAAGGCUGAGUUUAUGCUGAGCUUCCCACAGUUGGCCUUUUGCCAUGGGACAAACAAUGGUCACCUGGUUGGAAACGGUUCACCUUCUAGCUAUCCUUAAGGGCACUGUGUUUUACUCUUGGGCUGUUUUGCUGUUCUCUUCCCUCCAUGCCACAGUGUGAAAUGGGGGGAGGGAGCAACUCCACUUCUAGAGCGAGCCUCUCCACGAGUUCAGACAACACUUGACGAACACUUGACGAUUAACUAACGUAACAGAUUACAGCUUCCUGGAAAAACCUCUGGUGACGAAGAAAUACCUAGUAUCAGCUUUUCCUCCUUUGUCCACUUCACUCUCUGCCCUUCCGGGUCAAGGUUCAACCAAGCAGAAAGAACUGUUAAGAUCAGGUUCAGCUUUCACACGGGAGACAUCAGGACUGGGUCAGUGAGAGCCCAGGCUCACCUGGUGACUUUCAGGAAGAAUGCUGGGUUCUUCGAGCCCCUUCCUGCUUCCUAAGGUGGCUCCCUCCAGUCGAGGGCCGGUACAGUGCACAGGCCCUCAAGUGUGUUUCCAAGUGUGGAGGAAAGUUCACUCAGAACAGAGAGGAGGAGAAAAGCCAGACCCACCCUACCCUGAUCCUCUUGGUACCUCGCUGGCUUCUGUAGGGCCAGCAGGGGAUUUGUGUGGGUGUGGGGAGGUCAGCGGUGCUGGCUUAGGGAGAGGAGGCUAGACACAAGGUUAGAGGCAGCUGGCAGCUCCAGGCUCAGAGGAGGGUCAGUGGGGCCUGGGAACACAGUGGCCCUCGGGGUGACUCAGACCCAGCCGGUGGGAGAAGGACACACACAGCUAGGCGCUUCUACAACUGUACUAUAGAGCUGGGCAACACGGCCUGGGAGACUAACAACCAACCUGGCUCCCUGCCCAUAUCCCGGCUCUGUGGGAACCCUUUUUGCCCAUCCCAGACAUCUGGAGGCUUCUGCUCUCCACUAUUGCUUCCAGCAGAGCACAGCUGAGGUACUUUCUCUACAGCCCCAUGCCCUCUGAACCAUCCCAGGUGUACCACGUCC
Molecule: long non-coding RNA, 1506 nt
Filed under: Cricetulus griseus (Chinese hamster)
Lineage: Eukaryota; Metazoa; Chordata; Mammalia; Rodentia; Cricetidae
Description: lncRNA (ENSCGRG00000026537.1)
Source: RNAcentral